Molecule: long non-coding RNA, 1012 nt
Organism: Panicum hallii
Lineage: Eukaryota; Viridiplantae; Streptophyta; Magnoliopsida; Poales; Poaceae
Exons: 3
Source: RefSeq, a predicted model, not a curated record
UUCCCUUCCAGCAUCUUCCAUUCCCAUUUCGCUCAUUGUCGCUCGUCUUCCACCCCGCCACCGCACGCAUCUAAUCCCGGCGAUGUGACUGCCUAGACCGGCGAGAAGGGCAGUGGUGGAGGCCAGUGGCAGUGACGCAUCGAGCGAGGCGGAGAAGCUAGGAAUAGCCUCGAGUACCCGCGGUCGCCGUGCGUGGCACUCAGAGUUCGCCAUGAUGGAUCUGGCGGAUGGCGGUGCCUUUACCAGGCCAAAUCAAACGGCGGAUGCGAUUCAGGUGAAGCUGAAGAAGGUGCUGAGGGCCUCAGCCAGCCAUCCUUCAGGAAGCAUAAAGCUCGUUACCAACGAGGAAGUUUCUGUUGUAAGCUGUCUUCUUGGAUGAUUGGUUGCACCACCGGAAUAGAGUAGACGACGUUUAUAACAAUAUCAUCUGAGUUAGAGUCGAGUCGAGCUUGUCUUGGAAUUCCGGAUUUGUCAUAGAAAGUCUGAGAUCUUGUUAAUGAUAAAGGAGGGGAGAAAAACAAGAAGCAAGACAACAAGUGUUUGCAGCCAAGGUGGUGUCUCUCAAGCUUUUCUCACACUUAAAAAGAAGGCUACUCAAAAGAGGAGGCUACAAGAAUUAAUGGAGCAAGAGAUGGAGGUAAUACCAGCAAGGUUAGCAUUUACCAAGCAGGUAUGGAAGCCGAAGCGAGUUGUUUCAUCAUCAAGUCAUGGCCGAUAACAUCUAUCACCCUAAGAAGCAACAUGCAGCCGAUGUAUUGUUCAAACAUCGUCCUCAAGAAAUUUUGGUCCAUAGGCUUAUUUUUUUGUAUGCAAGCGUUGCAAAAAUAAGGGGGCAUAUGUUAGCGAUAAAAAUUGAUACGGCUGGCCGUAACGGUCUGCCCCAUGUGAACAAAACGGUCAGACCGGUCUAGGUGAAUUUGUUAAAAUGCAAAUUUGACUUUACCAUUGUGUAGCUCUCUUCGAGACGAUCAAAAUGCAUAUAUAGAAUGUCCGAUUUAGAGUUUGAAUGACA